AGUAGAAAAGGAUUUGAAGCUGGGCUGGGCUUUGAAAUUGAAGUGUGGUAACAUGCUUAUAUUUGUGUUUAGCGGCAACCCUGGCUUCUGGUGUAAAAUGGAUGAGGAGAGGAGCUUCAGGAGACCAGCCAGGAAGGUGCAAGUCUACAGAUUCAGUUGUUUGAGGGUAACUUAUCACUGUAACCCCCAAAGUGUCUUAAACGGAGGAGCUGCACGUGUUCCGUGGGCCACCAUGAAGAGUUCACAUGAAUUGUGGCUUCUCCAAUCUUUCCUCCAUUGAUUAUAUUUUUGCCAUAAGAUAUUGGGUAAUAUCCUAUCCUGCAGGACUUGGAUUCAAAAUGAUGAUCUCCAGUUUCAUCCAUGUUGCAGCAAAUGGCAUUAUUUUAUUCUUUUUU
Vicugna pacos (alpaca) is the source of this 395-nucleotide non-coding RNA. The record is from RefSeq and is a predicted model, not a curated record. Lineage: Eukaryota; Metazoa; Chordata; Mammalia; Artiodactyla; Camelidae.